Molecule: transfer RNA, 66 nt
Filed under: Sergia lucens
Lineage: Eukaryota; Metazoa; Arthropoda; Malacostraca; Decapoda; Sergestidae
Also listed under: 1 other name
Description: tRNA-Cys
Rfam family: tRNA
About the family: Transfer RNA (tRNA) molecules are approximately 80 nucleotides in length. Their secondary structure includes four short double-helical elements and three loops (D, anti-codon, and T loops). Further hydrogen bonds mediate the characteristic L-shaped molecular structure. tRNAs have two regions of fundamental functional importance: the anti-codon, which is responsible for specific mRNA codon recognition, and the 3' end, to which the tRNAs corresponding amino acid is attached (by aminoacyl-tRNA synthetases). tRNAs cope with the degeneracy of the genetic code in two manners: having more than one tRNA (with a specific anti-codon) for a particular amino acid; and 'wobble' base-pairing, i.e. permitting non-standard base-pairing at the 3rd anti-codon position.
Source: RNAcentral
GGCUUUGUAGUGUAAAAAUAAGACAUCAGACUGCAAUUCUGAAGAUGCGCUGUAGCGCCAAAGCUU